This 524-nucleotide ribosomal RNA is filed under the name uncultured bacterium. Its description in RNAcentral is "bacterial SSU rRNA". It matches the Rfam family "Bacterial small subunit ribosomal RNA", at positions 777 to 1301 of the family's 1533-position model. The record is from RNAcentral.
AAUAGAUACCCCGGUAGUCCAUGCCGUAAACGAUGUCUACUAGCCGUUGGGGCCCUUGAGGCUUUAGUGGCGCAGCUAACGCGAUAAGUAGACCGCCUGAGGAGUACGGUCGCAAGACUAAAACUCAAAUGAAUUGACGGGGGCCCGCACAAGCGGUGGAGCAUGUGGUUUAAUUCGAUGCAACGCGAAGAACCUUACCUGGCCUUGACAUACAGAGAACUUUCCAGAGAUGGAUUGGUGCCUUCGGGGACUCUGAUACAGGUGCUGCAUGGCUGUCGUCAGCUCGUGUCGUGAGAUGUUGGGUUAAGUCCCGCAACGAGCGCAACCCUUUUCCUUAUUUGCCAGCACUUCGGGUGGGAACUUUAAGGAUACUGCCAGUGACAAACUGGAGGAAGGCGGGGACGACGUCAAGUCAUCAUGGCCCUUACGGCCAGGGCUACACACGUGCUACAAUGGUCGGUACAAAGGGUUGCUACUGCGCGAGCAGAUGCUAAUCUCAAAAAGCCGAUCGUAGUCCGGAUCGC